UUAAAAAUCAUAUAAUUUUUUAAAUAACUUUUAGUGAACUAAUCCUAAAGUUAUCAUUUUAAUCUUGGAGGAAUAAAUUUAAACCCUAAUCUAAUUGGUUUAUAUGUGUAUUAACUAAAUUACGAGAUAUUAGUUUUUGACACUUUUUUUCUCGU
Molecule: unclassified non-coding RNA, 155 nt
Filed under: human respiratory syncytial virus
Lineage: Riboviria; Orthornavirae; Negarnaviricota; Monjiviricetes; Mononegavirales; Pneumoviridae
Source: RNAcentral